Molecule: ribosomal RNA, 468 nt
Filed under: uncultured bacterium
Lineage: Bacteria
Description: partial 16S ribosomal RNA
Rfam family: Bacterial small subunit ribosomal RNA
Source: RNAcentral
GAUGAACGCUGGCGGCGUGCUUAACACAUGCAAGUCGAACGGAAAGGCCCUGCUUUUGUGGGGUGCUCGAGUGGCGAACGGGUGAGUAACACGUGAGUAUCCUGCCCUUGACUUUGGGAUAACUUCAGGAAACUGGGGCUAAUACCGGAUAGGAUCUCCUGCUGCGUGGUGGGGGUUGGAAAGUUUCGGCGGUUGGGGAUGGACUCGCGGCUUAUGAGCUCGAUGGUGGGGUAGUUGAUUACCAAGGCAUUGAAGGGUAGCCGGCCUGAGAGGGUGACCGGCCACAUUACGACUGCGAUACGGCGCAGACUCCUACGGGAGGCAGCAGUGGGGAAUAUUGCACAGUGGGCGGAAGUCUGUUACAGCAACGCCGCGUGCGGGAUGACGGCUUUCUGGUUGUAAACCGCUUUCGCCUGUGACGAAGCGGGAGUGACGGUAAUGGGUAAAGAAGCACCGGCUAACUACGUG